RNAcentral lists this ribosomal RNA (339 nucleotides) under bacterium enrichment culture. RNAcentral's name for it is "bacterial SSU rRNA". It matches the Rfam family "Bacterial small subunit ribosomal RNA", at positions 798 to 1140 of the family's 1533-position model. The record is from RNAcentral.
CNCCCUAAACGAUGUCAACUAGUUGUUGGGGAUUCAUUUCCNUAGUAACGUAGNUAACGCGUGAAGUUGNCCGCCNUGGGGAGUACGGUCGCAAGAUUAAAACUCAAAGGAAUUGACGGGGACCCGCACAAGCGGUGGAUGAUGUGGAUUAAUUCGAUGCAACGCGAAAANCCUUACCUACCCUUGACAUGCCACUAACGAAGCAGAGAUGCAUUAGGUGCUCGAAAGAGAAAGUGGACACAGGUGCUGCAUGGCUGUCGUCAGCUCGUGUCGUGAGAUGUUGGGUUAAGUCCCGCAACGAGCGCAACCCUUGUCUCUAGUUGCUACGAAAGGGCACUC